GAAAGGUCCCCCGCCCUCUCCGCUUCUCACAGCUUUCCUUCCAUUGAAAAUGAAUGGGAAGCGGUGUUUCACCGCGUGCUAGUGUGCACGGGGCAUCUAGUAACACGGCGCAAAUGCACAUGUGCAAAUCAAAUAUCAACAAGAAAACAGUUGAUUAAAAACAUAUGGAGAUCAGCAAACAAGUACAGAGGACAAACAUAGGCAGAAGGGAGGUUUGAGGAGGGAGAUCCUCCUAGACACAGAUGUGCCUUGAAGUUUGAAGCGUUAUCGGCAGACAUCUCCUGGACAACCUGAGACCUCCAGACCUGUGAAGCUUUUGGGACUAUGCCAGAGGAUUUGAUGGACCCUACCUCAUGCCACCGAUGGCGAGGCUCUAACAGCGCCUGGGAAAAGUCACCGAGAUACAGAUUCCAAAGCUUCACCAAGCCCACUAUUUGAAGACUUCCGAGACAGGCCUGCAGAGCCUGAGUGAUGCGAAGUUAACCCUUGCUAAACAUACACAGCUGAAGAACCAGAUGUCCCAGAGCACGAGUCAGUUCUUGCGAGUGAACAAGUGUGUUGAAAAGAUGCUCUGGAUAGCCCCCUUGGGCUCCCGAAUGCAUAGCUCCCGAGUGGCGCAGCGGUCUAAGGCACUGCAUCUCAGUGCUUGAGGCGUCAC
Long non-coding RNA from Coregonus clupeaformis (lake whitefish), 658 nucleotides. RefSeq lists it as uncharacterized. The transcript has 3 exons. Lineage: Eukaryota; Metazoa; Chordata; Actinopteri; Salmoniformes; Salmonidae. The record is from RefSeq and is a predicted model, not a curated record.